CCUACGGGGGGCUGCAGUGAGGAAUAUUGGUCAAUGAGCGCGAGCCUGAACCAGCCAAGUCGCGUGCGGGAAGACGGUCCUAUGGAUUGUAAACCUCUUUUGUCGGGAAGCAAAAUACGCCACGCGUGGCGUUCCGAGAGUACCCGAAGAAAAAGCAUCGGUUAACUCCGUGCCAGCAGCCGCGGUAAUACGGAGGAUACGAGCGUUAUCCGGAUUUGUUGGGUUUAAAGGGGGCGUAGGUGGAUUGUUAAGUCAGUUGUGAAAUUUUCGGGCUCAACCGUAAGAUUGCAGUUGAAACUGGCAGUCUUGAGUACAGUAGAGGUGGGCGGAAUUCGUGGUGUAGCGGUGAAAUGCUUAGAUAUAACGAAGAAAUCCGAUUGCGAAGGCAGUUCACUGGA
RNAcentral lists this ribosomal RNA (398 nucleotides) under uncultured bacterium. RNAcentral's name for it is "partial 16S ribosomal RNA". It matches the Rfam family "Bacterial small subunit ribosomal RNA", at positions 338 to 733 of the family's 1533-position model. The record is from RNAcentral.